This is a long non-coding RNA of Vicia villosa (hairy vetch), 344 nucleotides long. RefSeq lists it as uncharacterized. The record is from RefSeq and is a predicted model, not a curated record. The transcript has 2 exons. NCBI's taxonomy places the organism in Eukaryota, Viridiplantae, Streptophyta, Magnoliopsida, Fabales, Fabaceae.
GCAUUCAUUUUUAAGAUAACAUGGCAACCAACAUCAACUACGCCUGUUUUUUCGUUGCCAUUCUAUGUAUUGCUUAUGGUUUGAAUCAGGGAGGAGCAGAAAAAUAUAAGAUUUGUACUCCCAUAGGCAAUUGUCCAGGUGACCAUCGAGGAUGUGUUGAUUAUUGCGAAGAAAGGGGGUUUCCUAAGGGAGUAGGCCAGUGCCAAGAUCAUGAUCAGUUAUGUUGUUGUGUCUGGGAAUAGUUAUGUUGUUGGAAUUGACGAUAAUUGUAUCUUCUCAAAGUUUAUUUAAACACACUCUAUAUGUAGUGGAGAAAUAAAUACAUCGAUUUCGAUUUUCAUUCA